This 491-nucleotide ribosomal RNA is filed under the name uncultured bacterium. RNAcentral's name for it is "partial 16S ribosomal RNA". It matches the Rfam family "Bacterial small subunit ribosomal RNA", at positions 29 to 507 of the family's 1533-position model. The record is from RNAcentral.
GUGAACGCUGGCGGUAGGCCUAACACCUGCAAGUCGCACGGCAGCACAGUAAGAGCUUGCUCUUACGGGUGGCGAGUGGCGGACGGGUGAGGAAUACAUCGGAAUCUACUUUUUCGUGGGGGAUAACGUAGGGAAACUUACGCUAAUACCGCAUACGACCUACGGGUGAAAGCAGGGGAUCUUCGGACCUUGCGCGAUUGAAUGAGCCGAUGUCGGAUUAGCUAGUUGGCGGGGUAAAGGCCCACCAAGGCGACGAUCCGUAGCUGGUCUGAGAGGAUGAUCAGCCACACUGGAACUAAGACACGGUCCAGACUCCUACGGGAGGCAGCAGUGGGGAAUAUUGGACAAUGGGCGCAAGCCUGAUCCAGCCAUACCGCGUGGGUGAAGAAGGCCUUCGGGUUGUAAAGCCCUUUUGUUGGGAAAGAAAAGCAGCAGGUUAAUACCCCGCUGUUCUGACGGUACCCAAAGAAUAAGCACCGGCUAACUUCGUG